RNAcentral lists this ribosomal RNA (420 nucleotides) under bacterium. RNAcentral's name for it is "partial 16S ribosomal RNA". It matches the Rfam family "Bacterial small subunit ribosomal RNA", at positions 355 to 776 of the family's 1533-position model. The record is from RNAcentral.
UGGGGGAUAUUGCACAAUGGGCGAAAGCCUGAUGCAGCGACGCCGCGUGGGGGAUGAAGGCUUUCGGGUUGUAAACCUCUUUCGCUAUCGAACAAGGCCCGCUUAGGGUGGGUUGAGGGUAGGUGGAGAAGAAGCGCCGGCUAACUACGUGCCAGCAGCCGCGGUAAUACGUAGGGCGCGAGCGUUGUCCGGAAUUAUUGGGCGUAAAGGGCUUGUAGGCGGCUUGUUGCGCCUGCUGUGAAAACGCGGGGCUUAACUUCGCGCGUGCAGUGGGUACGGGCAGGCUUGAGUGUGGUAGGGGUGACUGGAAUUCCAGGUGUAGCGGUGGAAUACGCAGAUAUCUGGAGGAGCACCGAUGGCGAAGGCAGGUCACUGGGCCAUUACUGACGCUGAGGAGCGAAAGCAUGGGUAGCGAACAGG